Molecule: ribosomal RNA, 119 nt
Organism: Gadus morhua (Atlantic cod)
Lineage: Eukaryota; Metazoa; Chordata; Actinopteri; Gadiformes; Gadidae
Source: Ensembl
GCUUACGGCCAUACCACCAUAGGCACGCACGAUCUCGUCUGAUCUCGGAAGCUAAGCAGGGUCGGGCCUGGUUAGUACUUGGAUGGGUGACCGCCUGGGAAUACCAGGUGCUGUAAGCA